Macaca mulatta (Rhesus monkey) is the source of this 6785-nucleotide non-coding RNA. The record is from RefSeq and is a predicted model, not a curated record. Lineage: Eukaryota; Metazoa; Chordata; Mammalia; Primates; Cercopithecidae.
GCUGGGACCACAGGUGUACAUCACCUGUCCUAUUUAAUUUUUUGUAGAGUCAGGGUCUUGCUAUGUUGCCCAGGCUGGUCUGGAAUUCCUGGGCUCAAAAGUGAACUGCCCAACUCAGCCUCCCAAGGUGCUGGGAUGACAGGUGUGAGCCACUAUGCCCAGCCUAGAAUUGGUUUUUCUUAAACCUGAGUUUGACACAUGAACCCCACUUACAUAGAUAUCAGCACACUCUCACAGCUCGAGAGUUUUCCUGAAUCUCGAUUCUGUCCGUUCAAGGUCAAUAUCUAAGAAAGGGUCAGAACUGACCCUCCCUCCGUGAAGCCUAAGAGCAAAUGCAGCAGCAUCUCAGUGUAUGAGGAGACAAAGUAAGAAGGGUGGAAAAUACACACUGAAAUUCUAGUGCUAGAAUCAUAAUCACCAACACUUUAAGAGGGAAUCUGCUUUCCAAAAUAUGUAGCUGCUGGAUUAACUUCAAAGUCACCAGAUUCCACAGGCAGUAGCUCACAGGGGCACAGCUUUCUAAGGCCGCACAGCCCGGGACAGCGUAACAGCCUCAGGGCAAAGCAAACUAAACAAAGGCUUGGUUCUCUCAAGGACGAAGGUGCUCAAGUGUUUCCAAAUAUUCUUCUUCUUCUAAGUAAGUUAGAUGCCUCCUACAACACUGUUUAGAGUGCCAGUGUAUUCAGAAACAUGAAGUUGAAAAUACAUCUCAGGACCCCAAAAUCACUAAGGUAAAGGGACGUCAAGGUGAGGAAGAGCUUAGACCAAACCUGCCUCCCAUGCUCUUCCUAACAGAGACAGCUACUGGGGGUGGGGGAAAAGCCACGUACCUCCCUCACAACCGAUCCACAAGGAAAUUCCUCAUGGACAGAGGACAGAACUCAAAGUCACCAUCUGCACACGGAGAUAAAUGCGGAUCUGACUGCUUCCUCUGGAAAGAUGCACCAGAAAUGCAUUUGUCUGAUCUACCUGUGACCUGGAAAUCCCUCCCCGCUUCGAGCCGUCCAUCCUUCCUAGACUGAACCAACGUACGUCUCACAUGUAUUGAUGUCUCACGUCUCCCUAAAAUGUGUAAGACCAAGUUGUGCCCCAAACACCUUGGACACAUGUCCAGGACCUCCUGAGGCUGCCGCAGUGUGUCCUCAACCCCUCCUAAGGCUGUGUCUAUAACCUUGGGAAAAUGAACUCUCUAUGGAUCGAGGACUGUCGCAGAGAUCCUUCUGGUUUACAGGAAGCAUUCUCUCCUGCGAGUAUAUCAAUGAAAUCAUGUGGAAUUACAAAAUGCCACUUUAGUAAAAGCCAAAGGAAUUAGGGUUCUAUGUGCUUCAAAAAAAAAAAAGUAACGUUCUAUUUGUCAAUGGACCAUGAAGCCCACACCCCCUUUUGCAGUGAAGAUGUCAAAUGGGACGAGAGGCCCCUCCUGAGGAUGCUACCCUCUGACCCCACUUCCCAGAGUCCAGUUUCCUGCUGCUCAGGGAACAGCAACCCCAGCUUCACGGGGCUCAGGCCUCCAAACCCAACUCCCACCCAUGCUGGAGAAUCACCCCAGGGACUAGCUAAGUGGCAGGUGCAACUCUCACCUCACCCCCUUAAAGGGGAAAAGGCACCUUCCCGCUCCUCUUCCUGCUGGUGGGAACAGGGGCAGGAGCUGGAGGAUCAGGAGUCGGGCGGCAGAACGGAAGCAGCCUGGGUCCCUGCUAGUCAGAGUUGGCAAAUGCCAACCAUCCCCGACAUUCACUUUGCAAAUAAAUCCUUCUCUUUUGUCAGGUCCCUGGUUAUAAGUUUGCACCCAUAACUUAAAAAGAAAAAAAAAACUCAGAUAAAAAAUCGGUGUUUGGCUGACAAUAUUUCAAUUAUCUUGGGGCCUUGGGUCAAAUGAUGGCAAAACAGGAAACUGAACGCUGUUAUUCAGGAAACUACCUUCCAGCGCCGUCUACCCUCCCAGGCUGUCACCUUAUGGUUGUUUGUCUGCUAGAUGAUUAACAAAACUGUUCUGAAAACCUAGGUGUACAGAACAGACAAGAAGUCAGCCUGGGUUGAGGGGAAGCAGGAUAAGACCCCCUUCCCCGCAGGAUGGUGGAAGAGGAGGAACCUUCAGCACCUGGGUUUUCAGGAUGCUGGAUCUCUGAGAGCAUCUCUCACAGCUCAAGUACAGCCAGACCCUCCUCUGACACAGCCUGUUCAGGCGAAGGUGGGCACCUGCCCUAGAGACCCACAGCCCUGUGCGGGGCUCAGCUGGAGCUGAACUUGCCUCCCUUGGUAAGAGUCAGGGCCAGGGGUGGGGAGAGGAGAGAAGCAGCAGGCCUGAGGGCCACUGUGGAAACUCCAUGCCACGCUAACUCUCGUCUGAUGUGCUCCGGCCAAAGCCACGCUUCUCGGAGGGAGUUUCCCUUCACACAUCCGGAAAUCAUCAACAUCUAGUCUCCCCACAGAACAAAUCCUUCCCUAGGAGGCAGACGCUUGGCUGUAACACGGGGUAAUGAGGGGCGCGCCUUCGUGCCCACUCUGUAGUGUUUCCUGUUACCUAUUUUACCUUAAGCUACAAAUGAUUCCCGUUUACACGGGACACAGUGACACAGACAGCAAAACACAUGAGAUUCAGUGUGAUCCCACACCCGUCACUGCUGACCUCAAGUGCUUUGUUCGUUUUGCUUCUAGAGUUUGUAUUCUCUCCCGGGGUUCCAGGCCUGUGGAUUCAACCAACCAUAGAUCAACAUAUUUUUUAAUGUGUUUGUACUAAGCAUUCAGACUUUAUUAUUCAUUAAACAACUACUCGCAUGGAAUGUCCAUGGUAUAGCUGUUACGAGCAACCCUGACAUGACUGUCUGCAGGAGGAUGUGCAUAUGUCAUAUGCAAACACGAUGCCAUUUUAUUGCAGGGACCUCAACGCCCAAAGACCUUGGAUUCCAUAGGCAGUCCUGCAGCCCACCCCCAUGGGCACUGUGGAAUGGCUAUAAUAGAAAAUAUGGAGGUUUUAAACAGUUAUGUACUAAAUCUAAUCUUUUGUUAAGAAAUUAAUGUGUAUCACUUGUAUUAUUUGGAAGUCCUUCCUGGCCCAGAGACUUGACAUGUUCUUAUCUUUUUGUCCACGGAUCUAGCCAUUCCAGUAAGCUUGUUGAACACAAAUCAAUUUUACAAUUAAAUUCUUACAAGAAUCACACUCAAUCUGUAAGCUGCUUUGGUUUUUAAAGUGAAAUAACCAAUAGUUUUGCCAACCUGCUAUAUCAUAGAAUAACAGGAUAAAGCAGCCCCAUGGCAUGCAAAAACAUGGGGUUUCAAAGCUAACCAGUAUAAAACACGUUACAAACCCCUAAAUAUGAAAACGUUUUACACCAAAACAGAUAUUCCAGGAAAAAACAAGAUGUUCAAAAAAGCCCUUUGCAGAAAAGCACUUUCCCCUUCAUUUUUCACACGGUUUCCUGAAGCUUGUGUUUGGUGAUGACCAUGAACCAGAAGUAGCGUCCGCUGCAACUACUGUUACGGCAACACAGAAUAUUAAGGGAAAAAAAAAAAAAAAAAAAAAAGGCCGGGCGCGGUGGCUCAAGCCUGUAAUCCCAGCACUUUGGGAGGCCAAGACGGGCGGAUCACGAGGUCAGGAGAUCGAGACCAUCCUGGCUAACACGGUGAAACCCCAUCUCUACUAAAAAAUACAAAAAAAAAAAAAAAAAAACCUAACCGGGCGAGGUGGCGGGCGCCUGUAGUCCCAGCUACUCGGGAGGCUGAGGCAGGAGAAUGGCGUAAACCCAGGAGGCGGAGCUUGCAGUGAGCUGAGAUCCGGCCACUGCACCCCAGCCUGGGCGACAGAGCGAGACUCCCUCUCAAAAAAAAAAAAAAAGGACACAGCAUAUUUCCUAUUGAUGAGAACAGGUAGAGUGUUAUAAAAUGAGUGUGUCCUAAAGUCAACAAUGUUCAAAUUCUAGGUCUCCCACAGACACUAGACGGUAACCGCCAAAGCUUAUGUACCUGGCAACGUUCAAGGAGACCAAGUUCAGAGCUGUCACAAUGCAGCACCAUCCUCACGCGAUUAUCUCAGGCAGGUUUGAGGGCAAGUGCCCCCGUCACAGUGGGAAAGCUGCCCAGCCCAGCACUUCCUGAGAUCACAGACCUUCGCCUUCCCACGUCUUCAAUAGUUCCUUUACACCGGGAACCACACAACAAAACCUAAAACACUUCCUCAAAUCUCAAGACAGUCUUUAGAGCUCUUUUCCUUGCCCCUUCUCUUACUGAAAAAGCUUAUUUUGUAAGCAACCUGUAGUGCUUACCAGAGCUGGGGCGGGAGGAGAGCUAGUGUUUGGUAGACCGAGUUUCAAGCGUGGGGAGACCAGAAAGUUCUGGAGAUGGAUGGCGGUGAUCGCAGCACGACAGUGUGAACACACUUAAUGCCACAAAACCAUACACUUAAAAAUAGAGUGCUGUGUAACUUUACCACAAUCAAAAAACUGAGAAAAGUCAUCUAUAAUUACUGUCUCCAAUAUCUUCCAUCCUGUAAGUUACAUUUGCUUUCGGCAAUCCUCAGAGCAAUCAUGAAAAACUAAUACCCUGUCGUCUCUGAAACGCAAAGUCGUUCAAGGGCUUUGGUUAUAGGAAAGUAGCUGGAAAGCAAAGCGUCCGUUAGGCACAGCAGCCGUGAUAGGACAAACACACGGUAGGAAGGUGGUGGUCAUGCUACACACAGAUGGGAAGGGUGUGGGGAGCCACAACACCUGAUGCUUGGGAGGCACCUGGGCAGGAGCUGAGAAUGUACCAAACACGUUCGAUCAUGCAACAUUCACGGACCCCGAGUCCAGCCACCACCGCUGACAUCCACUGUGGCUGGGGUGUCCUCCCAGCCUGUGAUGGCUCGCUCCUUCGGUUAACUGCCUUAUCUACUGGUUCCUCUCCUCAUGGGCCUCUUUCCUGUCGUCUUCCUGUCAUUUUUCUGUCAGCAAACACAUUUCCUGUCAUUUUCCUGAACUGACAUGACAUUUCCUGUCAUUUUCCUGAACUGACAUGACAUUUCCUGUCAUUUUCCUGAACUGACAUGUCAUUUCCUGUCAUUUUCCUGUCAGCAAGCACAUGCGUCCAGCCUGACCUUGCUGAUGUGCUCCAGCGGCCCUGGACUCGAGCCGCACUGUUCCAUCAGUGUGGCAUUCGCGAGUUACCUCCUGGGAAAUGCCAGGUGAUGGUAACAUCAACCAGGAGGCACAGCUGAGAAGCAGAACGCAUGGUGCAGUGCCCAGAACGUCACGUCCUUGAACAGACGCUCCGUAUCUUCUCCUCUCCUGCCAGAGCUUCACUGUAGGAAGGCGGCCAUUCCUCCAGUGCUGCUACUUCCAACACCGGGGAAAGCAAGCUUCAGAAAUGAACGGUGUCAAAGAGGGAGGACCCACCAGCAGGGCUACCGGCAGCCAGACAACCGCAGCCCCAGCAUUCCCCAGCCACCAUGACUGACAGCCCAGGCUCCAGAAAUGCACGGCUUCAACCUUAGGAGUAAAAACCCUCCCAAUCCAACUAUUAUUUUCAACAAUGGGAUUGAGGAAUGAGGUGUUCUAACCCUGCCUCUCUCGACAGCACAGAUCAUCAGAUCCCAGUUCUUAUAGGAUUGGGGAGUGGGGUGGGGUGGGGUGGUUCCUAACCCUGCCCGCCUUCAUAGAAAAGAACUUGGAUAUGAUGACCUGUGCUAGAUUAGCACUUUGCUUCUGCCACAUGCAGUCAUCCUCAGCACCAGGAAAAGUCAGAAUCGUUGAGUGAUGACACCAAUACCAACACACGCCGUUCUGCGGCUCUGGUAACUGGCUGCACAGAUACAACCCGAUAGUGGUGAGGUCUAAAGACAUCACCAGUCUUCCCAAGGAUUGUGUUCCUGAAUAUUUUGCGUUUGGAAUAACGGUCUUCUUUGCCAGGGCUGAGCCAUGCUUCCCUCUCGCCUGUCCUCUGCCUUCACCAGCUUCGUGUGCGCUUCCGGACAAGUGUUUGUGCAGGUGCUAUCACUUAUUUCCACAGCGAGAAUAUACACAGACACCACACAGAAAUGGGCAACCCCGUUAGGAGCUGUGCAGGGAGAUCUAACUCAUCCCAUGUGCCAAAUUCCUGUUGCCAUGGAAAUUAAAACUAACUAAACUAACGUUGCUAUGAUCUCAUCUCUUACUGUACCACUAAAGAUCAUCCGGGUAAGAGGAAUGUGCCUCUGCAUAGCAUUCAGCUCACAUUUACAUGUCGGUUUUUCCUGAAUAUGGUUAUGUGAGAUAGAAAUCAGUAAGAUGGGGUGUAACAUACAGUAUAGGAUCGUUGUGUCUCCUAGCCUCAAACACUUCAAGAUCCUCAGAAAAUGAAGUUUAACUCUGGGGACGUGAGUUACAUAGUAACUUGUUUUGGAUACUAUCAUAUCAACACCAAAUAACUUCUUGAAUUCCUUUUUAAAUUGAAAAGCAAUUUACAAAGCACAAAAGCCCCAAUAUUAAAGAAUACAAUUCAGUCUUUUUAGCAUAUUCUAAAAGCUGCACAUCAACCACUAGUAUGUAAUUCCGGGACUUUUUCACCACAGGCCAAAGAAACCUUGAACCCAUUAAGAGUCAGCACCUGGCUCCUUCCUUCUACCAGCCCCUGGCAAUCACCAGCCAACUUCCUUUUCUCUGGAUUUGCCCAUUCUGGACACCUGUUGUGAGGAGAAUCGUACAGUGCAUGACCUUUGGUGUGACCUUCGGUGCUGACAUCUUUCACGUCUAAGGCCACACCUGCAAAUACCUCCAUCUGAAGUGGCAUCUUUUCUUUCAAAAACUGACAAAUACCUGGCCGGGUGCAGUGGC